This 302-nucleotide ribosomal RNA is filed under the name uncultured bacterium. RNAcentral describes it as "bacterial SSU rRNA". It matches the Rfam family "Bacterial small subunit ribosomal RNA", at positions 28 to 334 of the family's 1533-position model. The record is from RNAcentral.
GACGAACGCUGGCGGCGUGCCUAACACAUGCAAGUCGAACGGAGUUGACCUUCGGGUUAACUUAGUGGCGAACGGGUGAGUAACGCGUGAGAAACCUGCCUUUCAGUGGGGGACAACAGUUGGAAACGACUGCUAAUACCGCAUAAUGUCAUUUGGGGGCAUCCCGAAUGACCAAAGAUUUAUUGCUGAAAGAUGGUCUCGCGUCUGAUUAGCUAGAUGGCGGGGUAACGGCCCACCAUGGCGACGAUCAGUAGCCGGUCUGAGAGGAUGAACGGCCACAUUGGGACUGAGAUACGGCCCAG